ACUUCUUUCCGUUCCUCUGCAGAUCGCCGGACUCCUCAGCUGAUCACAAGAGUUCUAUUUUUUCUGGACGCCGGAGCAUGGCGGAUAAAUUCAGCACAGAUUAACCCGUGCUGGAAAGGAAGUCGGGCACAGACACAAAAUAAAACAUCCGGCUUCUUUUCAAAAUAAAACACUCCGUGUUUCAGGAGGAUCGUAUUUCACACCAUGCAAACGGGCGGAGACGAACAAGUGAAAGGUUUUUAGACGUCAUUUCACCCCGAUGACACCAUGGAUGAGGAGAUGCUGAUUCUAGAAGUCUAGAAGUAGAUUUCCUCCUCUGGAAGGACACAAUCUACUGCUUAUAUGUCUAUGUGUCUGUCUUUAUAGAGACAACUCGUUAUCGCGUGAUUGCACCUGAAUCCGCCACAAAAUUCGCCUCACCAACGGAUUCGGUAGACGGCCGAUGGCGAAAAUUGCCGAUGUGGAAACCCUGGGUUACCAUUUCAGUGUAAAAGUGUAAAACAUGUUAAGGUCAUGUGAUCGUUUAAAGUACUAAUUAUUGUCGAAAUAUCUGGAAUAAUCUCUUUUUAAGAGGACAAGACUAGAGUGACCAUACGUCCUCUUUUACCCGGACAUGUCCUCGUUUUUUGGGGAUGUCCUUUCUUGUCCGAUGGAGUUUAUAAAAUCCUUCAAAUGUCCGAGGUUUUGUUUGGAAGUUCUGAGUUUUUGUGGCGUGGACUCUCUGAGUUAGAAGUGUGUAAAAAACACUCGACACUGUGCCUCUGUCGUGUCCUCUUUUUGGAGGUUCAGAACAUGAUCACCCUCGACAAGACCAAAGCUAGUGGACGGCUGUGAUUUAAGGUGUUUCUGCAUUAAAAACAGUCAUGACUCUGUAGUAGAAGUCACUGCAUCGGCUCAUAACUGCUCCU
This is a non-coding RNA of Xyrichtys novacula (pearly razorfish), 908 nucleotides long. The record is from the annotation of a GenBank genome assembly. NCBI's taxonomy places the organism in Eukaryota, Metazoa, Chordata, Actinopteri, Labriformes, Labridae.